GCACAAAACAUGUGGCACACCAUUUAUUUUUGGCAUGUGAGUUCCUUCAUAGAAAAGAACUCUUCCUUCUCUUCUGCAUCCACACAUCCCAAGGUGCCAUCUGAUGGCAUGAGAAACAAAGGAAUGCGUGGAAUAGAUAAGAAGGAAAUUAAAAGGAGUAUUUAAGGACUCCUUCUUAAUGCCUCAAAUAAAUAUGGUGUGGCUUUUUUAUUUGUGUGG
This 219-nucleotide long non-coding RNA is filed under the name Elaeis guineensis (African oil palm). RNAcentral describes it as "long non-coding RNA (EGUI_LNC044317)". Lineage: Eukaryota; Viridiplantae; Streptophyta; Magnoliopsida; Arecales; Arecaceae. The record is from RNAcentral.